RNAcentral lists this unclassified non-coding RNA (234 nucleotides) under uncultured fungus. RNAcentral's name for it is "sequence contains ITS1". Lineage: Eukaryota; Fungi. The record is from RNAcentral.
GUAUUGUAUUGCGUUAAACGCUGCAUACAUUCCAUGAGACUUUGUUACGGUGUGUGUGUAAAGACGUAGAACCAUGGGCAAAGAGGACAGAGGCCCUCAAGGCCAUAGAACUACAGAGGGUGCACAGGUGUGAGUGGAUGUGUAAACAGAGCGUGCACAUGCCCCCAUUCGAGGACCAGCAACAACUCGUGUCGACAUUCGGUAAUGAUCCUUCCGCAGGUUCACCUACGGAAA